AUACUUACCUGGCGUAGAGGCUACCGUGAUCAAGAACGCGGUUCCUCCAGGGUGAGGCUCUUCCAUUGCACUGCGGUCGAGCUGACCUCUGCGAAUACCCCUAAUGUGGGUAUCUCGGACGUAUAAUUUUUGGUAGUCGGGACUGCGUUCGCGCUAUCCCGG
Molecule: non-coding RNA, 162 nt
Organism: Habropoda laboriosa
Lineage: Eukaryota; Metazoa; Arthropoda; Insecta; Hymenoptera; Apidae
Source: Rfam